UACGUAGGUGGCAAGCGUUGUCCGGAUUUACUGGGCGUAAAGAGCGCGCAGGCGGUCGUUCAAGUCGCGUGUGAAAGCCCCCGGCUCAACUGGGGAGGGUCACGCGAUACUGAUCGACUCGAAGGCAGGAGAGGGAAGUGGAAUUCCCGGUGUAGCAGUGAAAUGCGUAGAGAUCAUGAGGAAGACCAGUGGCGAAGGCGGGUCUCUGGACAGUUCCUGACACUGAGACACGAAGGCCAGGGGAGCAAACGGG
Molecule: ribosomal RNA, 253 nt
Filed under: uncultured bacterium
Lineage: Bacteria
Description: partial 16S ribosomal RNA
Rfam family: Bacterial small subunit ribosomal RNA
Source: RNAcentral